Molecule: long non-coding RNA, 2693 nt
Organism: Pyrus x bretschneideri (Chinese white pear)
Lineage: Eukaryota; Viridiplantae; Streptophyta; Magnoliopsida; Rosales; Rosaceae
Exons: 9
Source: RefSeq, a predicted model, not a curated record
GUAGGCUGAUUUCCAGGGAUUUCUCAAACCCUCCUUGCCUCUUCCGUCUCGCAGACCCCGCGAGAACGACGGUCUCGCCUCCAUCCUAUCCUCCUCUCGCCGCCGUCUCCCUUCUCUCGGCUCCGUCGUCUUACUCCUCCUUUCUCUGUCUCUAGAAUCGAUCGAUCUAUUCGAAGAGGAUCGACAGUUUUUUUGGGGGCGAAGAUUUGAUUGGGAAUUUGAAAUGGAAGCUCGAGGGAGCAGCAGGAGCCAGACGGAGCCUAAGAAACGCCAAUCGAAGACGCCCAGAAAGCCCAGAGAUAGUGUUCUCGAACAGAAAUCGCCGGCGGAGUUCUUUGCGGAGAACAAGAACAUUGCUGGGUUCGAUAAUGUUUGUGAAGGUCUGUGAAUAACAGUUGAUGAAAAAGUUGCAGUUUUGGAAAUGACUGUCAGCAAUCAAGACGUGAAAAAAAGAAGUCUUUUAUUCAUAAAAUCUUCACCACAAAGGAGAAAGAAGGAAGCGGCUCUUCGAAUUUCUCAGAUAGGGACAUUGGUCCAAGUUCCAACCAUAUAUGACAUUUGCGGUCUAAAAAUGGCGUUUUUGGUAAGAAAGAUAUUGAUGACUACAGAGAGAGGGAGAGCACCAUGGAAAUGUAAUAAAACCACCAAGCCGUUAUAAAUCUCUUCGAUUCUCUCUCUCAGAAACUAUCAAAGCACAACAACCUCUUGCUGAAAAAAAGUGAAUUUGGUCCCAAUUCGAAGGAAAUUUUAAGCCCAGAAAAGCCUUUGUUUCUUGGUGAGUUCUCCGGCCGAUUUGGAGUAGGUAAUUUUGUGAUUUGCAGUUUAUUUUGAGAAAUGAUUGACGGGUUUGCAGUUCAUUUUUCCAUUUCUAGAAUUUUGCAGUUUAUUUUGGGGGUUUACACUCAAAUUGAGAAAGCACACAUGAACGCAAAGGCUCGAGGAUGUACGACAACUUGGAUAUGAUAGGGUUGUACUCUUUGGAAUUCCAGCCUUGAGCUUCUUCUUGCCUGGUGCCUUCUCAUUGAGUAUUGGAGCAUUAAAACACAGGUCAUCAGCUUCUGAUUAAUGGAGAAACGAGGACCAUGCCACUGAGUUUGGGUUCUUUUCUAAUUUUCUGAUUUUGGGGUUUUGCAGGGAGUGCCGAUGUACUGAUUUGCUGGGAUUUUUUUUUCCUCGCAGGAUUUUUGGUCUUUGAAAUGUGACAACUCAGUCAACUAUGAGUAGAUGUAUAGCAGCCUGCUUCAGUGCUCACUUGGUAAAGUUUUUUGGUCACAUAAAGGUGCUGGAAUUGGGAACUUUUUGGAUCUUAAAUCUUUGGUUGCCUAACAUUCUCUAUAUCGAAAGGCAUCGUCUUUGUUACCACAUUUUAUAUAUUUUAGACGAUGAAUUUGAGUGCAGUGGACUAUGAGUCAGUGAACAGGGAGUUAAUUUUGUUGAUGAGAUUUGGUUAAAUGUCUAAUACACAUAGGUGCUUAUGUUUGUUUACAUUGGUUGUAAAUUCUUGCUUUCUUUUCAAUUUUGUUUUAUUGUAAUUCUUGGUUUAUGGAUCUUGCAUUGCUUACAUGACGUGGUUAUAUUUCAGUGUUUGUGAGAUGUCGAAUUGUGUGUUUGUGGCUUAGUGAGAGUUAGAUUUAGAUUGUGUAGAAAAUGUGGGCUUCGGAGUGUAACCCAAUUAGUAAUUUGGAGUGACUGAGGAGAAGUAUUCUGAGCUGCAGUGGGACUCGGUGAGACCAUGCUGUCGGGAGAGAGUGAGCGAGCAGAGAGAGAAGAGAGGGAGGGAGGGAGAGAGAUAGGAUUUGGUGAGAGGAAGAGAGAGGAGGGCUGCGAAUUUUGACUCGGGGAGAGAUGACUGCCUGUUGCUUCGGUCAGAGCGUCGUUGGGGGAGGAGGACAGAGGGACUGACAGGUUGGAGAGAAGUGGGAGCUAGGGGUUUCGACUCAGUGAGAUUGUGAGAGAGUGGGGGAUGGCAGAGACAGAUGAGAGGGAGCUGGGCGUGGGAAUUGCAGAGAGAGAAAGAGAACUCAGAAGAUAUUUGUUUUGUUGAGAGCUGACAAGAAAAGGGGAGAAACAAUGAAAAAGUGACAGAAUCUGAGAAUCUGAAGUAAAAAAUGAUUAGUGGGGUUUUAGCUUCUGGCACUUUCUUCCCUGCUUUCUAAACCCAUUUUUCUCUGCACCCCUUCAAACUCUAGAAGUGUUUACACAGAUUGGAGCUCAAAAGCGCCAGAUUUUAUGGAACAAAUGGUCUCAGAGAAGCUGAUUACACUGCACAGUAGCAGCACAGGACCUGGUGGGCCUGGAUUUGCCACUUGAAGAUGACGUGGUCCUGAUAGUCGGUCACUUCCGCGACAGUUCCGAACAAAGGAUUCAGUUCCCAAGCUCCGACGAUUGUGUCUGUGGCAAAGAGAAUUCAGGAAGAGUGGAAGAUCCUGGAGAAGGAUUUGCCAGGCGAGUUCUUUUGUUUUUUAUUUUGAAUUUCCUUUUAAAUAAUUGUUUUGAAUUAAUGGUAGUGAAGUUUUCCCAUACUUAGCCUAUUCAUUUUUAUCAAAUAUUUUGCACCGACUAUUUCAUGAUGCUUACUGCUGUAAUUAAUUUGGUUUUGUACUGAAAGUUGGAGUUGAGAAUAUAUGGAAUAUAGUUGUUGGAUUGGUGUCUGUACUAUAGAAACUUAGGUGUGCUUACCUCCUUUUCAUUGA